UUGACCUCGGAUCAGGUAGGGAUACCCGCUGAACUUAAGCAUAUCAAUAAGCGGAGGAAAAGAAACCAACAGGGAUUGCCCUAGUAACGGCGAGUGAAGCGGCAAGAGCUCAAAUUUGAAAGCUGGCUCCUUCGGGGUCCGCAUUGUAAUUUGCAGAGGAUGCUUCGGGAGCGGUCCCCGUCUAAGUACCCUGGAACGGGUCGUCAUAGAGGGUG
This 215-nucleotide ribosomal RNA is filed under the name Penicillium variratense. RNAcentral describes it as "partial 28S ribosomal RNA". It matches the Rfam family "Eukaryotic large subunit ribosomal RNA", at positions 1 to 214 of the family's 3401-position model. Lineage: Eukaryota; Fungi; Ascomycota; Eurotiomycetes; Eurotiales; Aspergillaceae. The record is from RNAcentral.